GUCUACGGCCAUGUCACCCUGAACAAGCCAGAUGUCUGAUCUCGUAAGCUAAGCAGGGUCAGGCCUGAUUAGUACUUGGGUGGGAGACCACCUAGUAAGACCAGGGCUUGUAGGUG
Molecule: ribosomal RNA, 116 nt
Filed under: Pteropus alecto (black flying fox)
Lineage: Eukaryota; Metazoa; Chordata; Mammalia; Chiroptera; Pteropodidae
Source: RNAcentral